Molecule: ribosomal RNA, 414 nt
Filed under: uncultured microorganism
Description: bacterial SSU rRNA
Rfam family: Archaeal small subunit ribosomal RNA
Source: RNAcentral
CAGCAGCCGCGGUAAUACCGGCGGCCCGAGUGGCGGUCAAUAUUAUUGGGCUUAAAGCGUCCGUAGCCGGGUUGGGAAGUCCUCCGGGAAAUCUGGCCGCUUAACGGUCAGAAUGCCGGAGGAUACUCCCAGCCUAGGGAGCGGGAGAGGCCGAGGGGAUUCCCGGGGUAGGGGUGAAAUCCUAUAAUCCCGGGAGGACAACCUGUGGCGAAGGCGCUCGGCUGGAACGCGUCCGACGGUGCGGGACGAAGGCCAGGGGAGCAAACCGGAUUAGAUACCCGGGUAGUCCUGGCUGUAAACGAUGCGGACUUUGUGUCGGACAAGCUAUGAGCUUGUCCGGUGCCGGAGGGAAACCGUUAAGUCCGCCGCCUGGGGAGUACGGCCGCAAGGCUGAAACUUAAAGGAAUUGGCGGG